RNAcentral lists this ribosomal RNA (449 nucleotides) under uncultured bacterium. Its description in RNAcentral is "bacterial SSU rRNA". It matches the Rfam family "Bacterial small subunit ribosomal RNA", at positions 330 to 793 of the family's 1533-position model. The record is from RNAcentral.
ACCAGACUCCUACGGGAGGCAGCAGUGGGGAAUAUUGGGCAAUGGGCGCAAGCCUGACCCAGCAACGCCGCGUGAAGGAAGAAGGCUUUCGGGUUGUAAACUUCUUUUGUCAGGGACGAAGCAAGUGACGGUACCUGACGAAUAAGCCACGGCUAACUACGUGCCAGCAGCCGCGGUAAUACGUAGGUGGCAAGCGUUAUCCGGAUUUAUUGGGUGUAAAGGGCGUGUAGGCGGGAAUGCAAGUCAGAUGUGAAAACUAUGGGCUCAACCGCGGAACUGCAUUUGAAACUGUCAGUCUUGAGUACCGGAGAGGUCAUCGGAAUUCCUUGUGUAGCGGUGAAAUGCGUAGAUAUAAGGAAGAACACCAGUGGCGAAGGCGGAUGACUGGACGGCAACUGACGGUGAGGCGCGAAAGCGUGGGGAGCAAACAGGAUUAGAUACCCUUGUAU